CCUACGGGAGGCAGCAGUGGGGAAUAUUGGGCAAUGGAGGCAACUCUGACCCAGCAACGCCGCGUGAAUGAUGAAGGUCUUCGGAUUGUAAAGUUCUGUGAUGGGGGAUGAACACAAUGACGGUACCCCAAUAGCAAGCCACGGCUAACUACGUGCCAGCAGCCGCGGUAAUACGUAGGUGGCAAGCGUUAUCCGGAAUGACGGGGCGUAAGGGGUGCGUAGGUGGUUUAGUAGGUUGGCGGUGUAAUUCCGGGGCUCAACCUCGGCGCUACCGCCAAAACUAUUAGACUAGAGUGCAGGAGGGGUAAGUGGAAUGGCUAGUGUAGCGGUGGAAUGCGUAGAUAUUAGGAGGAACAUCAGGGGCGAAGGCGACUUACUGGACUGUAACUGACACUGAGGCACGAAAGCGUGGGGAGCAAACAGGAUUAGAUACCCUGGUAGUC
RNAcentral lists this ribosomal RNA (443 nucleotides) under uncultured bacterium. Its description in RNAcentral is "partial 16S ribosomal RNA". It matches the Rfam family "Bacterial small subunit ribosomal RNA", at positions 338 to 795 of the family's 1533-position model. The record is from RNAcentral.